This 477-nucleotide small RNA is filed under the name Pongo abelii (Sumatran orangutan). Its description in RNAcentral is "processed transcript". The record is from RNAcentral. Lineage: Eukaryota; Metazoa; Chordata; Mammalia; Primates; Hominidae.
GGCGCCGGUUGGACUCACGGGCGGGGCAUGAUGGUGGUGGGUACAGGCACCUCGCUGGCGCUCUCCUCCCUCCUGUCCCUGCUGCUCUUCGCUGGGAUGCAGAUGUACAGCCGUCAGCUGGCCUCCACCGAGUGGCUCACCAUCCAGGGCGGCCUGCUUGGCUCGGGUCUCUUCGUAUUCUCGCUCACUGCCUUCAAUAAUCUGGAGAAUCUUGUCUUUGGCAAAGGAUUCCAAGCAAAGAUCUUCCCUGAGAUUCUCCUGUGCCUCCUGUUGGCUCUCUUUGCAUCUGGCCUCAUCCACCGAGUCUGUGUCACCACCUGGUAUCUUCAUCUUCUCCAUGGUUGGUCUGUACUACAUCAACAAGAUCUCCUCUACCCUGUACCAGGCAGCAGCUCCAGUCCUCACACCAGCCAAGGUCACAGGCAAGAGCAAGAAGAGAAAUUGACCCUGAAUGUUCAAUAAAGUUGAUUCUUUGUA